UGUGACCUCAAAUCAGGUAGGACUACCCGCUGAACUUAAGCAUAUCAAUAAGCGGAGGAAAAGAAACUAACAAGGAUUCCCCUAGUAACUGCGAGUGAAGCGGGAAAAGCUCAAAUUUAAAAUCUGGCAGUCUUUGGCUGUCCGAGUUGUAAUCUAGAGAAGUGUUAUCCGCGUUGGACCGUGUACAAGUCUCCUGGAAUGGAGCGUCAUAGAGGGUGAGAAUCCCGUCUUUGACACGGACUGCCAGGGCUUUGUGAUGCGCUCUCAAAGAGUCGAGUUGUUUGGGAAUGCAGCUCAAAAUGGGUGGUAAAUUCCAUCUAAAGCUAAAUAUUGGCGAGAGACCGAUAGCGAACAAGUACCGUGAGGGAAAGAUGAAAAGAACUUUGGAAAGAGAGUUAAACAGUACGUGAAAUUGCUGAAAGGGAAACGCUUGAAGUCAGUCGCGUUGGCCAGGGAUCAACCUUGCUUUUGCUUGGUGUACUUUCUGGUUAACGGGUCAACAUCAAUUUUGACUAUUGGAAAAAGAUUAGAGGAAUGUGACAUCUUCGGAUGUGUUAUAGCCUUUAGUUGUAUACAAUAGUUGGGAUUGAGGAACUCAGCACGCCGCAAGGCCGGG
RNAcentral lists this ribosomal RNA (616 nucleotides) under Cortinarius aff. orellanus UBC F17158 OC86. RNAcentral's name for it is "eukaryotic LSU rRNA". It matches the Rfam family "Eukaryotic large subunit ribosomal RNA", at positions 1 to 615 of the family's 3401-position model. Lineage: Eukaryota; Fungi; Basidiomycota; Agaricomycetes; Agaricales; Cortinariaceae. The record is from RNAcentral.